CGCCAAUAAAGUAAUAUAAUAUUUUGUCGAUGAGCUAUCGUGUGUCUUGUAGGUGUAUCGCUUGUCCGUUUUUUGGGCCUAUGAAUGUUGAAAGGUGGGAAAAACCGAAAAUUAUCGAAUAUUCUUCGUUUUCGCAAACGAUUGUUACCGCGAUUAAAAAACACUAGGUAUAAAUACGUGAAAAAAAACGUCGAAUGCGUUCACCUUCGAAUAUAAAAAAAUAGAAGAAAGAGACUGACAUACUUUGCGUGAUAUGUGGGCGAUUGUUGAAGGUGACGAGUAGGUGGUAAGGUAGAGUGAAAAUUGAAUAUGUAUAUCUGUACGUAACGAUUAACCGUUGCUACCGAAAAUCGAUUCUGAUCGGAGUUCGGUUAUUUAUAGCGUGC
This is a non-coding RNA of Cinara cedri, 386 nucleotides long. Lineage: Eukaryota; Metazoa; Arthropoda; Insecta; Hemiptera; Aphididae. The record is from the annotation of a GenBank genome assembly.